UAGGGCUGAAAAUCUUUACCCUCAGUGACCA
Molecule: non-coding RNA, 31 nt
Filed under: Mus musculus (house mouse)
Lineage: Eukaryota; Metazoa; Chordata; Mammalia; Rodentia; Muridae
Source: RNAcentral